RNAcentral lists this ribosomal RNA (798 nucleotides) under Anopheles gambiae (African malaria mosquito). Its description in RNAcentral is "SSU rRNA". It matches the Rfam family "Eukaryotic small subunit ribosomal RNA", at positions 115 to 812 of the family's 1831-position model. Lineage: Eukaryota; Metazoa; Arthropoda; Insecta; Diptera; Culicidae. The record is from RNAcentral.
AUUUACAAGAUCCUCAUCCAAACAGUUACUUGGAUAACUGUGGAAAAGCCAGAGCUAAUACAUGCAUUAUGCCGGGACUGUUGGCCUCCGGGUCGGCGGAACUGGUGCACUUAUUAGUUAAACCAAUCGCCUCCGGGCGCUUUGAGUUGAAAUCUGGAUAAGGAUGCCGAUCGUACGGUCGCUUGCGACUGACGACAGAUCUUUCAAAUGUCUGCCCUAUCAACUAUUGAUGGUAGUGUAGAGGACUACCAUGGUUGCGACGGGUAACGGGGAAUCAGGGUUCGAUUCCGGAGAGGGAGCCUGAGAAAUGGCUACCACAUCCAAGGAAGGCAGCAGGCGCGUAAAUUACCCAAUCCCGGCACGGGGAGGUAGUGACGAGAAAUAACAAUAUGGACCUCUCUAACGAUGGUCCAUAAUUGGAAUGAGUUGAGCAUAAAUCCUUUUGCAAGGAUCAAGUGGAGGGCAAGUCUGGUGCCAGCAGCCGCGGUAAUUCCAGCUCCACUAGCGUAUAUUAAAGUUGUUGCGGUUAAAACGUUCGAAGUUGAUACCCCGUCCAGACUCGCGUCCGUCGCGGGCGCCCGGCCUCUCGGUUGGGACCGUCCGUGUACGCGCUCGCGGCUGCGACUCACAAUGGUGUACCUGGGCGUUCUACUCCGUGACGGGUCAGGACUUGUCGCCGCGACCUCGUCGGUCAAGGUCUUGUUCGACCCAGCUUCAUGGUGCCCGGGAACUCUCGUUUACCUUGAACAAAUUAGAGUGCUCAAAGCAGGCUAGUUCAAAGCGUCCGGUCCUCCGGGG